Molecule: small RNA, 71 nt
Filed under: Arabidopsis thaliana (thale cress)
Lineage: Eukaryota; Viridiplantae; Streptophyta; Magnoliopsida; Brassicales; Brassicaceae
Source: RNAcentral
UAGCACCGGAUCCCAUUAGAACUCCGCAGUUAAGUGUGCUUGGGCAAGAGUAGUACUAGUAUGAGUGACCU